Molecule: ribosomal RNA, 497 nt
Filed under: uncultured bacterium
Lineage: Bacteria
Description: partial 16S ribosomal RNA
Rfam family: Bacterial small subunit ribosomal RNA
Source: RNAcentral
GACGAACGCUGGCGGCGUGCCUAAUACAUGCAAGUUGAGCGAUGAAGAUUGGUGCUUGCACCAAUUUGAAGAGCAGCGAACGGGUGAGUAACGCGUGGGGAAUCUGCCUUUGAGCGGGGGACAACAUUUGGAAACGAAUGCUAAUACCGCAUAACAACUUUAAACAUAAGUUUUAAGUUUGAAAGAUGCAAUUGCAUCACUCAAAGAUGAUCCCGCGUUGUAUUAGCUAGUUGGUGAGGUAAAGGCUCACCAAGGCGAUGAUACAUAGCCGACCUGAGAGGAUGAUCGGCCACAUUGGGACUGAGACACGGCCCAAACUCCUACGGGAGGCGGCAGUAGGGAAUCGUCGGGAAUGGACGAAAGUCUGAGCGAGCAGCGCCGCGUGAGUGAAGAAGGUUGUCGGAUCGUAAAACUCUGUUGGUAGAGAAGAACGUUGGUGAGAGUGGAAAGCUCAUCGAGUGACGGUAACUACCCAGAAAGGGACGGCUAACUACGUG